Molecule: ribosomal RNA, 374 nt
Filed under: uncultured bacterium
Lineage: Bacteria
Description: bacterial SSU rRNA
Rfam family: Bacterial small subunit ribosomal RNA
Source: RNAcentral
UACGUAGGUGGCAAGCGUUGUCCGGAUUUACUGGGCGUAAAGGGAGCGUAGGCGGAUGUUUAAGUGGGAUGUGAAAUACCCGGGCUCAACUUGGGUGCUGCAUUCCAAACUGGAUAUCUAGAGUGCAGGAGAGGAAAGUGGAAUUCCUAGUGUAGCGGUGAAAUGCGUAGAGAUUAGGAAGAACACCAGUGGCGAAGGCGACUUUCUGGACUGUAACUGACGCUGAGGCUCGAAAGCGUGGGGAGCAAACAGGAUUAGAUACCCUGGUAGUCCACGCCGUAAACGAUGGAUACUAGGUAUGGGGGAUUCGAUUCCUCCGUGCCGCCGUUAACACAAUAAGUAUCCCGCCUGGGGAGUACGGUCGCAAGAUUAAA